UGAGUAGGUAAGCGACUUGCCCAGAUG
This 27-nucleotide small RNA is filed under the name Bombyx mori (domestic silkworm). RNAcentral's name for it is "ovarian small RNA-32253". Lineage: Eukaryota; Metazoa; Arthropoda; Insecta; Lepidoptera; Bombycidae. The record is from RNAcentral.